This 235-nucleotide ribosomal RNA is filed under the name Enterobacter asburiae. RNAcentral's name for it is "partial 23S ribosomal RNA". It matches the Rfam family "Bacterial large subunit ribosomal RNA", at positions 31 to 266 of the family's 2925-position model. The record is from RNAcentral. Lineage: Bacteria; Pseudomonadati; Pseudomonadota; Gammaproteobacteria; Enterobacterales; Enterobacteriaceae.
GCCCUGGCAGUCAGAGGCGAUGAAGGACGUGCUAAUCUGCGAAAAGCGCCGGCGAGGUGAUAUGAACCUUUGACCCGGCGAUGUCCGAAUGGGGAAACCCAGUGCAAUUCGUUGCACUAUCGUUAACUGAAUACAUAGGUUAACGAGGCGAACCGGGGGAACUGAAACAUCUAAGUACCCCGAGGAAAAGAAAUCAACCGAGAUUCCCCCAGUAGCGGCGAGCGAACGGGGAGCA